Rattus norvegicus (Norway rat) is the source of this 3764-nucleotide non-coding RNA. NCBI's taxonomy places the organism in Eukaryota, Metazoa, Chordata, Mammalia, Rodentia, Muridae. The record is from RefSeq and is a predicted model, not a curated record.
GAGAAAGAGCCCUUGGGGCUCUCCGGGGAGCGCUUAGGAAAGGGGCUCUGUGUCCGGUUCUCCCUUCUGUUUCCUUCAGUGCAUUUAGGCUGUGCUUACCGGCCAGGUAAAAUUGAAGGGCAAUUGAAGAGGGUUACGACCACUGCCGCUAUUCUUGUCCCUGAUGACGAAGGAGUUGGUGCCCAAUACCGGCGUGGAGACAUUGCCAAAGGUGCAGGGUCCCUCGGAGAAGGUUGCCUGGUAAUGCUUAAGGCAGAUUCGGAAGAAAGUCCGGCAGCCGGGCUCGCAGGGCCGCCCAUUGGCCAGCAUACCGCGCUCGUUGGCGAACUCCUGCAGCCGCAACUGGAAGAUGCCGGAGCCCGCCGCGCGCUGCUGCACAGGGACGGAGAGAAGGAGGGAGGAGGGCGGUCAGGCUCAGCUGGCGCCGGGACACAAGCCCGGAGCGCUGCGGGAGGGGGCGGAGAGGACGCGGGACAUUACCUGCGGCCACAGGACCGCCAGCAGCAGUAGCGCCCAGCGACAGGCGCUCCGGGACCCAGGCGUCAUCCCUUGGGGUGUCCUCUCCACUCGGGGGCUCUGAAUCUGCUUGUUGGGAUGUCGCUCUCCUGCAAGUCCGUCUGCCAACCGAGUUCCUGAAAAGCUGAUUCCUCUCGGGACGCUGCUCCCUCGUCGCUUUCUCGAAAACUCCGCUGCUCGAUGCCUCGGCCUCUAGUGGCUACAGUCCCAGCACCCACCGGAGGGGGCCUCCGCCCCCGCCGCUCCCCCUGUCAGCCAGCCAGUAGGGCGCAGGUCCCCGCCCCUCUUCCAACUUCUGGGCUCCCAGCUCUGCGCGUGCCCGGCGACCAGCCCUUAGAGAUCGUCUGCUUAAAGGCUGAGACCCUCGCCACCAGAGGUUAGAAGGGUAGCCCAGAGAUGCGGCGGGAGGCAUGUCCCCAAACUGGCCACAGGUUACUGGUGGCUUCGGGCCUCCUUCCCAGCUGGAAGCCUACGAGCGCUCCCCAGGGCCACCAGAGCAGCUCCGAGACCUCCAGCGCGGUGUUAUCUCUCCUCUCGCCCGCUACCCUUCCCAGGGGACAGCGAUCUGGACCUGGCACACAGCACCCGGGUAGAGACGAGGAUACUGCGCCCGCAGGACAGGCUGGGGGCGGGGAAGAAGGCCUGCCUGGGGCGGGGCACUUAAGCCUUGAGAGACACUGCUGCGGUCGCUGCAGAGAAGGGGCCACGUGCUGGGAGCCGCGGCCGGGGAGCUGCACAGAAGGCGGGGAGAUUUGCAAACUGUUGCUGCCACAUGGCUGCUUCAUUCGAUCCAUUCACAUUGAAAUGAGGCCGGCGCGUGCCUCAUCUGCCGCAGGGCGCUGCCACGCGUCAGGCUGGCCCGCCGCGUGCCAACUGGGGCAGUGGGGCUGGCAGAGCCUGGCAGUCAUGGGGGCGCAGCUCGGGCCCUGAGGCCAGGAGGGGGUAGGGGAAGGGAAAUGAACUACUCUAGUCACUGAGGCGCCGCAGAUUCUCGGACCUUGGCCCUGCUUUUAGGAGUGAACCGACAGAAAGGCCCAAGACGAACGGUUUCAGAGGGGGGCCAGGAUCGAUGCCGCCGCUCCCCGCAGAUGCGCCCCGGCAGCGCUGCUCUCCAUCUGCCGCUGCUCGCACCUGCCGGUCAAUAAAUCGAUUUUACAAUUUAAUGCAGCAGCUUCCCGCCCGCCUCGGACAGAUGCCGCCGCAGAAGCACCUCCGCCCUUUCCCCUCCCCUUGAGGGGCGCCAGCGGUUAGGAACCGGUUUCCCGCUUAGCAAGCAGCGCCCCGCAGCGCGGCGCACUUUUCCCUACUGCCCCUUAGAGAAACUGCGUACUAGGAGUUUUUGCCCAGGGUCAGAGUGGAUUCCCCAGAGAAGAUGCCUGAGGCGGAGGGAGGAGAGAGGAAGAUGAUGACUUAGCAUUGGCCUGGAGGACUAGCCGGGGGGCUUCAAGGAAGGAACAGGAUGCAGGAACUGAUGAUAAAAUCCGAGGACUAGGGAGAGAAGAGGAGCGUGGUAUCUUAAGUCACAAUGGACUCUGAAGUCUGAAGAGGAGGACUGAGCAAGGAGAGCACUGAGGUGGUUUGGGGUGUCAGCCAUUUAGUCUGCUGAAUGAGUAUGACUCGGACUUGGCCAUGAAACUUAACCACAGUCACUUCUGUUCUUUUAUCUGUGCAACGUGCUAAUAGUAGCGACCCGGGAGUGUGAAGGACUGUAUGGGACUAGGCAUUUUGCAAGACUCAAAGAGUAAUUUAGUUCCUUUCUUUCCCUCUAGGCAAUAUGAAGACAACCCGAGGCCACCUUGGGGGCGGGGCACAAAUGAAUUUCAGAGGCAGAGGAAAAGGCCGACAGACAGACAAACUCCUCAGGGAAGAGGCAAGAGGAGCAGAUUGGAGGAGGGGAAAGAGCAGAGAGAGAAAAGUCAAGGUUUCAGGGCCUUUUUUGUAGGCCUGUGAUAAGGUUCUUGCCUGAACAACCCGGAGAAUAGCUGCCUAGACUUUGACCUUCUAGAGGAUACCUUCUCACCGAGACAACCCUACUGCUGAUGUUGGUCUUUCAGAACUGUGAUCUGCAGAAAGGAAGAGGUGUCACCUUUGGAUGAUCUAAUUAGUGAGGGUGCCGGCCACCCAGAGGGGCCCAGCUUUUCUCAUGCCUCUACGAAAGCCCACCUCCUGGGUUCACUGUCCACUGGCUGAUUGCUCAUGCCUGAUGACCCAACAUAUGUUAUAUAAAGGGUGCCCAAGUGGGCAGGAUUACUGGGCAUGGUAGAGUGCUGCUUGGGUUUCUCCUAAGGCCAGGAAGGUCUCCCAUCUCCUCUUCCAGGGUCCCAGGCACCUAGGGCCUGGAAUAGUUUCAUAGUUUCCUUGGCCUUCCCAGAGCGCAUGGAGCCUGGAACUGAGGGGAGUUUUCUUUCUCAUUAAGAGCAUCUAGAGCGGGGUUGGGGAUUUAGCUCAGUGGUAGAGCACUUGCCUAGCACACGCAAGGCCCUGAGUUCUGUCCCCAGCUCCGAAAAAAAAAAGAAAAGAAAAGAAAAAAAAAAAAAGAGCAUCUAGAGCCUGCAGAGACAGUAGGCCUGAGAGGAGAAGCCAAGGAUUCCAGAAGCUUGUUUUUGACUGUGUGUACUGAGUAGGAAGCUUUCUUAUGGCCUCUUCGGUGCUGGUUAAAAGGAAAGAAGGUGGAACGGGCACAGACUUGGCAGAACUGAGGUAAACCUGGUAGCAAAGGCCAACUUGACGACGUCCCCCCAGCUGCCUCAGCCACAUCUGCCAAACCCAGGAGAUGCCUGGAAAGCCAGGUCCAGGAACAACACAGCCAGCGGGUAUUUCCAGCCAGAGGGGAGGCUGGGGCUUAAGGCAACUUCCAUGGCAUUUUGCCCAGAGCCCUGGUUUCCCCUUCCCCAGUUCCUUCCUGUCCAUACUCUACCAAUGAGCAGGGAGGCAUGGGACAGGAGGGGAAGGCUCAGGGCUACCUCACUGAGGGACCACGGGCUUAACCAGAAGUAGUGUAACCCCAGCACAUGGAGGCAGAAGAAGAAGGAUUAGGAGUUCAAGGCCAUCCUUAAUUGCAUAACACUUUCAAGUUUUCUGGAGGACCCUAAUGUGUUUGCCAGGGCCCAUGUUAGGAAGCUUGCAAUUGUCUAUAACUCCAGAUCCAGGAUAUCUGACUCCCUUUUCUAACUCCCUCAGGGAUCUACACAUGGCACACACACAGAAACACUUGAAAAAUCAAAAUAAAAUUGGGAGGUAGAAGCAAA